CCGUGUGAGUGACCGAUCGCGUCCGAAAGGAUGAGGAAAGUCCGGACUCCACAGAGCAGAGGAUCCGUUCGUCAAGGGCGGAAAACGCAGGGAAAUCCUGCGUGAUGGAAAGUGCCACAGAAAAUAGACCGCCCGCAAGGGCAAGGGUGAAAUGGCGGUGUAAGAGACCACCGGUGCGUUUGAAACAACGUACGCAGGGUAAACCCUCCUCGGAGCAAGAUCAAAUAGGGGACAGAACGGGCGGCUCGUCCGGUCUUGCGUCUUUGAGAUGCAGGUUAAGUUCCGGGUUGAUCGCUUAGAUGAAUGAUCGGAGCGCCGCAAGGCGUGAACAGAAUCUGGCUUAUUCGCCAUGCGGAACC
Molecule: RNase P RNA, 359 nt
Filed under: Kiritimatiellia bacterium
Lineage: Bacteria; Pseudomonadati; Kiritimatiellota; Kiritimatiellia
Description: Kiritimatiellae bacterium (gut metagenome) RNase P RNA component class A
Rfam family: Bacterial RNase P class A
About the family: Ribonuclease P (RNase P) is a ubiquitous endoribonuclease, found in archaea, bacteria and eukarya as well as chloroplasts and mitochondria.
Source: RNAcentral